This 83-nucleotide small nuclear RNA is filed under the name Zalophus californianus (California sea lion). The record is from RNAcentral. Lineage: Eukaryota; Metazoa; Chordata; Mammalia; Carnivora; Otariidae. RNAcentral also lists the same sequence under 1 other name.
GUGCUCAGUUCGGCAGCACAUAUACUAAAAUUGGAACCCUGCGCAAGGAUGACACGCAAAUUCAUGAAACGUUCCAUAUUUUU